UAGCAGAACGACCAGAGA
This 18-nucleotide ribosomal RNA is filed under the name Cuphea wrightii. RNAcentral describes it as "partial 18S ribosomal RNA". Lineage: Eukaryota; Viridiplantae; Streptophyta; Magnoliopsida; Myrtales; Lythraceae. The record is from RNAcentral.